AAUUUAGAAGAUAUUUUAUAUCUGGAUCAAAAUUUGUGUGAAUUAGUUGAUGAUUUCAAUAUAAUUUUCGGUGGGAAUAUAUUUUUGCAAUUUCUAUACAUGUCACUUAUAAUUAUUUAUUCAUACACGGUUAUGUUUACACAUGAACGUAAACCUUCAUUAUAUUAUAAUGUUGUAUGGAUUAUUUACAUGGUUAUUCAAGCGGUUAUACUGACGUCACUCUGUGAGAACAUAACCAAACAAGUACGAAAGACUACCAGCAUAUGCUACAAGUCUAUUGCAUUCUAUCGAAAAGUUCCGGUGAUUAAAAACUCACUGUUUGUCUUGACGCAGAACAGGUUGCACGGCUAUUCGAACAUUUCAGCGGCGGGAUUUUUUAAUAUAAAAUUUACAACGAUUUUUACGCUGUUGAAUAUGUUGACGAGUUAUGCCAUUGUUGUCAUGCAGUUCACAAGUAAUAAAAUAAAUUAAAAUUGCUAAAAUUGUAGAUAGCAAUGGUAAUAUUUUUAAAAAUUAGUUUAAAACACACACAGAGUGCGAAAUUUAAUUAUUUUUGUUUGUAAAGUGCUAGUGUAAUUAGUAUAAUGCGUGUUUUGAUUGUGUCCGUGGCGAUUUUAUACUUAAUUCUUAAUAUUCAGAGUGUUUCCGGUUUAUUUGAAUUUUUAUUAUUUCCUUAUAUAAAUUCUGGACAAAUUAAUCGUGAGAUAAGUCUUGAACGUGCUAGAAAUUUUCGACAAUUACUGGAAAUAUCCAAUAGAGAACGACGAGAUUUUGAUAAAAAUUAAAUGGUUUGCAAAGAAGAUACACUUUACAAAUACGUAAUUUAUUAGCAUCUUUAGCUAGAGAUGAAAAUAACAUUGUGCGAAGAAUGCAGAAUGCACCUUUGGAAUGUCGAAAAAUAGAAGAAGUACGUGAGUACGUUCGAAUUAGUCGUGAGGCUUUAACUGAACAACAAAGGAGAGAUAUUGUCAGAGAAAUUAAAGCAACUCCUCAGGUUGCAAGGAUUUAUGAAAAUUUUGUCACAAAUGAUCAGGAUAUUCGGAGGGAAUUAGCAAAAUGUAGACCUGGAUUCACAAAUUGUGUUAUUGAUAGAACUGCGUUUAUUGAUAUUCGGCAGUCAAUGAUUACCACACGUCAAGAUGUACAGAGAGUACUCAGAAAUGCCAAUAAUGCAAUUAAUAUUACGGAUAAUGGUGGUAUGAAUAAUUUUCUUCAAGAAUUAAGACAAUGUUUGAAUAAUAAUAAUCAAUUGUGGUAUUAAAUAAUCUACAAUAAUAUUUUUUUGAAAAAUUAUAAAUAAUUUUACAGCUAUUAUAUUAAAAGCUUUAUACUGUUAGAAAGAUAACAAAAUUCAUCAAAAUGUGCAUAAUAAUUAUGUCCCUGAGUAUAUAUUUCGACUUUUGAAUCAGUAAAAUUUAAAAAAUCAACAAUGUCGUUAAAUAAAUUGGUUGUUUUUGCACUGAUGUGCGUGUGCGUUGCUAAUGCACAGAAUAUCCUUACACGUCCACUGGGUUUGGAUAUUCUGGCUGCAAGAAACCUUCAACAAUUGUUGAAAAUCGCCGAAAAUGAAGAAGUAGCUACCGAAAAACGUAUCCAACAAGUUCAAGACAACCAUAGACUACUUGUUAAAUUGGUGCAACAAGCUGCUAAUACUUUUGUUGUAAGAGUUGAAUCUGGUCCGGAAAACUGUCGUCAGAAUUUAGACCAAAUCAAAGCUUAUAUUGAAAGUCGUAAAGAAUUCUUUGCCACUGAAGCUUCUCGCAAUAUUGUUGGAGAAUUGAAGUCAAAUGAAGCUAUUGCACAAGGUAUUGCUAUUUUCGCCAAAAACGUUGAAGAUAUCAAGAAUAAAAUUGAAAAUACUGUUAAUGGAAACAUUAUUAGGAAUGUCCAGAGUGAGAUGAUUAAAGCAAGGACCAGUAUGGAGAAAUCUAUUGUUGAAGCAGAGGCUGAUCUUAGAAAAGAGAAGUUUGGUAAUGAUGAAAUGAUCAAGUUCAGCUUGGAAUACAACUCAUGUUUGAUUAAAGAAAUAUUUUAAACUCACCAAAAGAACUUUUAAAUAAAUGUAUUGCACGAAACGUUCUCACUUUUCAAAAUUAAUAAAAAAUAAUAAAAUAUAAACACCCUGUA
Dalotia coriaria is the source of this 2127-nucleotide long non-coding RNA. RefSeq lists it as uncharacterized. NCBI's taxonomy places the organism in Eukaryota, Metazoa, Arthropoda, Insecta, Coleoptera, Staphylinidae. The record is from RefSeq and is a predicted model, not a curated record. The transcript has 2 exons.